CGGAAUAUAGCAUAUCUAAUGCUCUUUACUUACAUUAAAACUAAAACAACCAGUUUAUUCCGU
Molecule: transfer RNA, 63 nt
Filed under: Eisenia nordenskioldi nordenskioldi
Lineage: Eukaryota; Metazoa; Annelida; Clitellata; Crassiclitellata; Lumbricidae
Description: tRNA-Val
Source: RNAcentral